GAUGAACGCUGACAGAAUGCUUAACACAUGCAAGUCAACUUGAAUUUGGGUUUUUAACUUAGAUUUGGGUGGCGGACGGGUGAGUAACGCGUAAAGAACUUGCCUCACAGCUAGGGACAACAUUUAGAAAUGAAUGCUAAUACCUAAUAUUAUGAUAAUAGGGCAUCCUAUAAUUAUGAAAGCUAUAUGCGCUGUGAGAGAGCUUUGCGUCCCAUUAGCUAGUUGGAGAGGUAACGGCUCACCAAGGCGAUGAUGGGUAGCCGGCCUGAGAGGGUGAUCGGCCACAAGGGGACUGAGACACGGCCCUUACUCCUACGGGAGGCAGCAGUGGGGAAUAUUGGACAAUGGACCGAGAGUCUGAUCCAGCAAUUCUGUGUGCACGAUGAAGUUUUUCGGAAUGUAAAGUGCUUUCAGUUGGGAAGAAAGAAAUGACGGUACCAACAGAAGAAGUGACGGCUAAAUACGUGCCAGCAGCCGCGGUAAUACGUAUGUCACGAGCGUUAUCCGGAUUUAUUGGGCGUAAAGCGCGUCUAGGUGGUUAUAUAAGUCUGAUGUGAAAAUGCAGGGCUCAACUCUGUAUUGCGUUGGAAACUGUAUAACUAGAGUACUGGAGAGGUAAGCGGAACUACAAGUGUAGAGGUGAAAUUCGUAGAUAUUUGUAGGAAUGCCGAUGGGGAAGCCAGCUUACUGGACAGAUACUGACGCUGAAGCGCGAAAGCGUGGGUAGCAAACAGGG
RNAcentral lists this ribosomal RNA (736 nucleotides) under uncultured Fusobacterium sp. RNAcentral describes it as "bacterial SSU rRNA". It matches the Rfam family "Bacterial small subunit ribosomal RNA", at positions 28 to 777 of the family's 1533-position model. The record is from RNAcentral. Lineage: Bacteria; Fusobacteriati; Fusobacteriota; Fusobacteriia; Fusobacteriales; Fusobacteriaceae.